Molecule: long non-coding RNA, 3022 nt
Organism: Cottoperca gobio
Lineage: Eukaryota; Metazoa; Chordata; Actinopteri; Perciformes; Bovichtidae
Exons: 2
Source: RefSeq, a predicted model, not a curated record
AGUUGUAUUGCUGUUGUUGUUCGCUUUAGACGCCAUUGUUGAUUUGUAUAUCAUCCAACAUGGCGUUGCACGCAUACGUCACACAGUUUUGUCACGUGUUUGCACACUAUCUAGUCAAUUUUCAGCAUUGUGAUCUUUCAUACCAUCACCAGGGUUUUCCAAUUCCCCAAUCUCAUUUACAUCGACACAAUGUCACUUGUUGAGCCAUACCCUUCCAUUACGUCAACCAGUGUCACUGAAACACAAAAGCUUUGCAAUCCUGAGCAAUCCGAACAGUAUUUCCUUCCUUGGCUUGUACUUCUUCCUCCCCAUCUGAGCUGUUUCAACACUAGCAAGGGGAAACUGUCUGAUACGAUCAUGGGAAAUCCUGUUCCGAGCCUUUGGACACUUGACAAACAGCAUUUGUUUAAGCAUUUAAUGACACAACAGGGAUACUCCUAUAGGAGCAGUGCAAGAAGCUAUAAAAGGUACGGUGCAUUACUUUGUCUCUGCUUCUAGACCUGCUCCUUUUAUGGUAGCCAACCUUCCUUCUGGUCUUAGCAGGCCAGUCGUCAGCUUCCUUUGUUUGUUUUCUGGUCAACCAAAUCCUUCCUCUCUGAAAUACGAGAGGUUACAAAAGACAUGCUUUCAUCUGAAACCUCCUGCAGCUUUACUUAAGUGUCCUUAAUAGAUACUACACAAUUACAUGUCUACUUUAGCACAAGAGUUUAGGACUCAUUCAGCUCCCAGGUAUUCAAAUUCACUAACAUACAUUUUUAUGAAUGUGGCCUCUCGCUGAAAUGAUGACAGGAUGGAGGCUAUUUAGUAGAAACAAAAUAACUUUUUUACUUUUAACACCCAAAGCUGCCUCAUAGAGUGCAGCUUCCAGAUUUAUCAGCAUGAUAGAAGACUAUGUUACUUUCAUUCACAUUCACUCAGCCAGCAACCCAAGAGCACCGCUCCUGCUGAGACAUAGAUUGGCCAUUUGUCAAUGACGACAAUCCCUGAAAUCCAUCUUUAACUAAGACCUGGAAGCUGUCUUUUCAUGUUGAGUUCAAAUAAGUAAAUAGCCUCAAAAACAAACGACAGGAAAAAAACACCAGGCAGGGUCACCUACACGGGAAACCAGAGAAUCUUGCAAAGGAUGAAACGGAGACAGCAAGACAAACCAACCCCUUUACGCGAUUCCUACAAGGAGCCGACGGCCCACGGAUGACUGAUUUACAGUAAUUGGGCUUCUCACCCGCUGGCUCCUUUCCACCAUUUAAAGAAACUUGAGCAUCUGACCGGUCCUUCCACCUUUGUCUGCUCUACCAAUCCCCAGAAACAUCUCUUUAUCCCUCUGUGUCAGCCCCAAAUAAAUUUAGCAGUGUACUCACAGCUACUUGUCUUGUUGAAAAGCUCUAAUAUAGUUACAUUUUAUCUAUAAAAUAAUUAAAACUUAUUGUAGUUAUCACUUACUGUAUAGCACGAAGCUCUUUUUUGAAAGAAAAACUGGCUUGUGAUCAGAAAUAUUAGAUAUCAGACUUUUCAAAGACUGACUUUUGUAGAAAUAAAACCUUAUUCUGUUCUAUUCCUAUAUUAUGUUAAAAAGACAAAAACAUUUGAAUGACUCAUGAAUCAGAUUUCCCGAAAUGUUAAACUAUUCCAUUAAGGUUUGGGAAAUAUUGCAGAUAUUUCCAGAUUACAAUUCUACAAACUCCAACACACUACAAGAUAAUGUAUCUACUGUCCAUAGUGACAUAAGCAUUUCUGCACCGACCAGUCAUUGUGGCCGUGACUUCAAGUUUUGUGUUGUGUUCCCAGACUUUGUGGUUCAUUUUGGGAGGUAGAGUUCAGACCAUCGGAUUCAAUGAUGACUUUGGCUGCCAGCCAGUACACUGAACUCACAUACAUUUACAUUCUGUGUAGUAGUGUGUGUGUGUGUGUGUGUGUGUGUGUGUGUGUGUGUGUGUGUGUGUGUGUGUUUUAGAAAGAGGACAGGGGGUAGGCGGCCGACCAGCAGCUUCCCUGGGAAAACACAAACUCCGAACAGUAGAAAUCACUGGAGUGCAGACUGAUUCGAGACCCAGAGCAGGACCCCGCAUUCCUCAGAAACCCUCCGCCUCAAACCCGUUGCCCCACUACCAAUGAGCAGGCGAAAGAGGGAGUGAUGGAAGACUGAGACAAAAGGCCUUCCUCAGCCCAUGAGCACGGCGCUGUGCUGUCAAACAGAAGUCGUGUGUAUUCAUCAAUCACAAAGGAAUGGCACACACAGGAGAGUGUAUGGUGAGGACACUCAAGUCAUCAGGAGUGGAAAUCUUAAAAGAGCCAAGUUCAAUGGGCUGGCUUAUAGUGAAGUGUAAUACUUUAUUUUUGUGAAUGACUAAUUGUAUUUAAAGAAAUGGUUUUAUACACUUUCUUGCCGAUGAGAAGAUAAACACCAGUCUAUAGUAUAGAGCUACAACCAGAAGCUGGUUAGUUUGGUGAUACAUUACUUGUUUAUAAGUUACCCAGUAUGUGUGCAACUGCUAAUAUCAUUUUUGUUAGUGAUUAAUUGGGUUUGCUUGUCAGGUUAAUAGCUGGAGGUUUUCUCAUGUCAGCAGGUUGUGAAACGUGCUCUGAUAACAUGUUUGGGGCUUUACAGUCUCUGGGAACUCUGAGGGGGAGGGGAUGUUGCUUCAAUUUCCCUUUUUCAGUCACAUUCCCAAAACAAUUGCCCCCUGAUAUUCCCAAAAGCCCUGUCCAGGAUGUAUCAUAUUAAAUAAAGGGUGAAAGGGGGACAUUCUUGCACAUUUUAAGAGGGUUUUUGAAAAAAAAUGGGUUUCUCCAAAUGUUAAACUAUAGGCCCAAAUACUGUGUACCAUGCCCAAGUCACACAGCCGCCUUGAAGAUUUGGUUAUAAUUCAAAGUGGCAGAACAAUGUAGUUGUUUUGAGAACAGCUAGUAAUUUGCUAUUGCUUCAUACCAUAAGGACUGCGCUUCACCCCAAAGGAAAUGAAAACAUCAACACUGUGGUUUUACACCCUUAUUUAUGUUCAUAAAAAAUCUCUUUUUAAAAGCA